CAUUGCUAUUGGGAUUCGAUUUAGCCAUGCUAGUCGUACGAGUUCAUACUCGUGGCGAAUAGCUCAGUAACACGUGGCCAAACUACCCUUCGGAGCACAAUACCCUCGGGAAACUGAGGCUAAUAGUGCAUACCACAAUCCACCUGGAAUGAGGAUUGUGCCAAACGCUCCGGCGCCGAAGGAUGUGGCUGCGGCCGAUUAGGUAGACGGUGGGGUAACGGCCCACCGUGCCAAUAAUCGGUACGGGUCAUGAGAGUGAGAACCCGGAGACGGAAUCUGAGACAAGAUUCCGGGCCCUACGGGGCGCAGCAGGCGCGAAACCUUUACACUGCACGCCAGUGCGAUAAGGGAAUCCCAAGUGCGCAGGCAUAGAGCCUGCGCUUUUGUUCACCGUAGGGAGGUGAACGAAUAAGGGCUGGGCAAGACCGGUGCCAGCCGCCGCGGUAAUACCGGCAGCCCGAGUGAUGGCCGAUCUUAUUGGGCCUAAAGCGUCCGUAGCUGGCCGCGCAAGUCUAUCGGAAAAUCCCCCCGCCCAACGGGUGGGCGUCCGGUAGAAACUGCGUGGCUUGGGACCGGAAGGCGCGACGGGUACGUCCGGGGUAGGAGUGAAAUCCCGUAAUCCUGGACGGACCGCCGAUGGCGAAAGCACGU
Molecule: ribosomal RNA, 651 nt
Filed under: uncultured haloarchaeon
Lineage: Archaea; Methanobacteriati; Methanobacteriota; Halobacteria; Halobacteriales; Halobacteriaceae
Description: bacterial SSU rRNA
Rfam family: Archaeal small subunit ribosomal RNA
Source: RNAcentral